UACGAAGGGGGCGAGCGUUGUUCGGAAUCAUUGGGCGUAAAGGGUGCGUAGGUGGCGCGGUAAGUCGGGUGUGAAAUUUCGGAGCUUAACUCCGAAACUGCAUUCGAUACUGCCGUGCUUGAGGACUGGAGAGGAGACUGGAAUUUACGGUGUAGCGGUGAAAUGCGUAGAUAUCGUAAGGAAGACCAGUGGCGAAGGCGGGUCUCUGGACAGUUCCUGACGCUGAGGCACGAAGGCCAGGGGAGCAAACGGG
RNAcentral lists this ribosomal RNA (253 nucleotides) under uncultured bacterium. RNAcentral describes it as "partial 16S ribosomal RNA". It matches the Rfam family "Bacterial small subunit ribosomal RNA", at positions 524 to 776 of the family's 1533-position model. The record is from RNAcentral.